This is a long non-coding RNA of Equus caballus (horse), 3930 nucleotides long. The record is from Ensembl. NCBI's taxonomy places the organism in Eukaryota, Metazoa, Chordata, Mammalia, Perissodactyla, Equidae.
CCAUGAAAAAAGAACUGUGUGAGCCAGCAUAGGGCUGAAUUGCAAAAUAUAUUGUUAGACAUGUAGCAGAAUAUACUUCCCAAAGCUUAACUGGUGGAAUGAUUGAGAAUUUAACGAGAUGAGUAGAAAAGGACCCAUGGAGAGGUGAUCUCUCUCCUUAUCUGCUGGUCAUUUGGUCAUAGCCUGAGAUGUUGGCUCAGCUGAAGCUGGAAGCCGUGUGCAAGCUUUUGAAGACUGCUGAGCACUUCACCUGGCAUAAAAAGACAUCUUAAUUGCCGCUACUUUGGAGGUAGCAGCAUAUGGAACCACUCUAGCUGAGUGGAAAGGUCAGAGGCUGCUUAAACUGAUUCUUUGUAUGAGCUACAUGUGUCAUGACCAUAAUCACAUCCUUGUGGUAUACCCAAGCGUGUCUCUAUUGCCUUGCAGCUUUCAUGUCAGAAAACUGACCGUCGGAAGUCUACACAAGGGAUGGAGAUCAGCCGUCUCCUAUUCUUGCUGAAAAUUAACAAAAUGAUCUAUAAAAUAUGAAACUUUUUAUCGGCAGCAGAUCCGGACACCUCACACAUGUAAGGUGUUUCCACCUGAAGAGCAAAGAAGAACUGAGUAAGAAGGGACCACUCAGCUGUUUGGUGCAAGGGAAAAGCAUUUUCCCUGAGAAGUAGAAAGAGACUACUCACCCCAAAUAAACUAGAAAUGAAGGUGGACAUUAAAGAUAAGAAAAGAACCUUUUAGAGGUCUCUGAGAGGCCACCAUCACUGUAAGCAGCAGGACCACCAAAGACUUUUCUCAGCAGAUGCUUGAACACAUUUGUGGUCCCCCCAGCAUCCUCACCAUCUGGUGUUCACAUCCUUGUAUGUUCCUCUCCCAUUAAGUGUGGGCAGGAACUGUUAUUUGCAAAAAUGACAUGCUGUGUGUGACUAUGUGUACCUGAUUAUGUGAUUAUGCUAUGUAGGACUUCACACCUGUCUUGCUGGAAUCUCUUUCUCUCCCUUGCUGGCAGUAAGGAGCAAGCAGCAAGGAUAGGAAACCAAACAUGGCAAGGAACUGUGAGUGGCCUCCAGGAGCCAAGGUGGGGCCUCCACCUGGCAGCCAGCAAAAAUCCAGACGCUCUCAAUAAUGCAAUCACUGGGGACCAAUGCUGCCACCAACCACACAAGAAGGGAAGCAGUUUCUUCCCCAAUCAAGCCUCCAGGUGAGAACUCUGCUCUGACCCACAACUUGAUUGCAGCCUUAUCUGACCCUCAGCCAGAGGAGCAAGCUCAGCUGUGCCUGCACUCAUGACCCCCAGAAACUGUGAGAUAAUAUAUCUAUGUUUUCUAAAGCUGUUAACUUUGUGGUAGAAUUGGCACACAGCAGUAGAUAACUAAAGCACAAGAAAGAAGCAAGCCACUUUAGAUGAGGGCUAAUUUGUAAUCUCAGCAAUUGAAAGAACACAGCAUUAAUGACACUGGUUUAGAUAAUCACAACAAAUGAACAAUGUGAGAACUUGACAGACACCAUAGGAAAGAAAGGCACAAGGGAGACCUUAAAAACCAUACAGGAUUUUGAAACAAGAUGAAAAUUUGUUCAGGAUGUCUGGAUGAACUUGCAAGUAAUCUCUACUGUCUCUAUUUAUCUAUACGAACAGAAAGACUCUGGGAAUACACACAUUGCCAGUUGACAGUGCUUCCCUCGGAGGCAGGAAUAUAAGUGAUUUUUCCAUUAACUUUUAUUUUUGUUAUCAAACUGAAAGAUACAUACAAUUAUUUCCCCCUGCAGGUUCUCUAACUUCCUGAUGGACAUUUUUUUUUUAAUUUGCACACAGUUAAAGUUCCCUUUUGGUGGUAUACGGUUGUGUGGGUUUUGACAAAUUCAUAUAGUCAUGUAUCAUACAGAACGCUUCUAUUUCCCCCCCAAUCCUCUUGUGCUGUCCUUUUGGAGAAGGCCCAUUCCUACAAUGCUAAACCCUGGCAACCACUUAUCUGUGUCCAUCCCUAUCAUUUUCAUUUUGCCUGAAUGCCAUUUUGUAUAAAUGCCGUGCGAAUCUGGCUACUUUAACUCAGUAAAAUAGUGUUAAGUUUCAUUCCUGUUGUUCCAUGAAUAAACAAUUUGUUUCAUUUUUGUUGUUGAGAAGUAUUCUAUUGUACAGGUGGACCAUGGUUUAUCUGUUCUUCUGUCAUAGGACAUCUAAAUAUAUGUUCGUUUUCUAAUGCUGCAGUGAUGUUACCACUAACGUAAUGGCUUAAAAUAGCCCAAAUUUAUUAUCUUAAGGGAAUGGAGGUUCAGAGAACCAAAAUGGGUCUCACCAGGCUCAGAUCAAUGUCAGCAGCGCCACAUUCCUCUCUGGAGCAUCCAGGAGAGAAGCCAUUUCAUGGUCCUUUCCAACUUUUCAAAAGCAUCCCCAUUCCUUGGCCUGUGACUGUCUUUUUCCAUCUUCAAAGUCAGCGAUGUCAGGCUGAGUCCUGCUCACACUGCCAUCUCUCUGGUUCUGACUCCCAGAGCCUCCUUCACUUUUAAGGACCCUUGUGAUUACCUUUAUCCCACCUGGAUCAUUCCAGAAUGAUGUCCCUAUGUUAAAGUCAGCAGAUUAGCAAAUUUAAUUCAUCUGAAACCUUGAUACCCUUUUUCCGUGUUACUAACAUAUUCUUCACAGGCUCUGGAGACUAAGAUGCAGAUAUCUGUGAGGGAUCAUUAUUCUCUCCACAGAGGGCUGUUUCCAGUUUUUGGUGAUCAUAAGUAAUGCCAUGUGAACUUAAAUUUCAGAAUUCACUUGGGUAAAUGUCUACUCAUGACAUUGCUGGGUCAUCUACUAUGAUCUGUUAAAGAAAACUAUGAGGCUUCUUAAAGUAUUAACUUAAAAAAAACGACCGAAUCUUCUUCCAAAAUGGCUGUCUCAUUUCAAAUUCCUAUUAGCCAUGCGUGAGAGCUGCUCCACAUCCUAACAAGCAUUUGAUGUUACCUGUUUUUAAAAUUUUAAAGCAUUUUAACAUGUGUGUAGCUUACUGUGGUAUUGAUUUGCAUUUUUCUAGUGAUUAAUGAUAUUGACCAUCUUUUCAUGUGCUUAUUUACCAUAAAUAUAUGUGUCUGUUUAAAUGUUGUGAAUAUCUUUUGUUGUGCUGUUAGUUUUCCUAUUAUUGAGUUUAGAGAGUUUUUAAAUAUUCUCAAUGCAAGUAAUUCACCAGAUAAAUGAUUUGCAGACGUUUUCCCCAUGCCAUAGGUUAUCUUUUCACUUGCAUAAAGUGUCUUUCACAGAGCAGAAUUGUAAAAUUUUGAUAGGUUCAAUUAAUCAAUAUUCUCUUUUAUGGUCAUGAUUUUGAUUUGUAAAAACUCUGUGAUGAACCCAUUGUAACAGAUUUCUCCUAUGUUUUCUUCAAAGAGAUUUAUAGUCUUACAUGUUAUAUUCAAAUCUAUGAUCCAUUUAAAUUUUUUUUGUAUGUGGUGUAAGGUAUGAGAAGGCUUAUUUUGUGAAAAGGCUAUCUACCCUUUCUCUGUUGAAUUACCUUUUUACCUUGGUCUAAAAUCAAUUGUAAAUAUCCAUAUGAGUCUGUUUCUAGGCUCUUCCUUCUGUUUGAUUAAUCUGUGUAUCUAUUCUUCUGACAAUAUCACACUGUCUUGUUUAUUGUAGCUUUCUUGAAAUUGUGCCACGUGGGGCCUUAUGACUUUGUCUUUCUUGGUUGAAAUUUCAGAGUCUCAGAAUCAACUAUUCUAGUUCCUUUGUCUUUCCAUAGCAAUUUUAGGAUUAGCGUGUCAAAAUCCAGAAAAAACUUCGGUGCGAUUUCAAUUAAGAUUACGUUGGAUCUAGAGAUCAAAUUGUGAGAUGGCACCUCAAUGAAACUGAAUUUUCCAAUUUAUGAACAUGGGUAUAUCCCUUAUUUAGGCCUUCUUUGAUUUUUUAAUCUGUUUUGUGAUUUUCCACAUACAUAUUAUGGAGGUAAUAUUAGACUGAUAUAU